This is a non-coding RNA of Monodelphis domestica (gray short-tailed opossum), 67 nucleotides long. The record is from Ensembl. Lineage: Eukaryota; Metazoa; Chordata; Mammalia; Didelphimorphia; Didelphidae.
GGUAAAAUGGCUGAGCUAGGCAUUGAACUGUAAAUUCAAAGACAGAGAAUAACAUCUCUUUUUACCA